Molecule: long non-coding RNA, 190 nt
Organism: Haliotis rubra (blacklip abalone)
Lineage: Eukaryota; Metazoa; Mollusca; Gastropoda; Lepetellida; Haliotidae
Exons: 4
Source: RefSeq, a predicted model, not a curated record
GAACAUGAACAUCAUCAAUGCCUGUGUGGCAGUGAACAUAUCGACAUCACUGUCUGUGGCAGUGAACACAUCGACAUCAGUGUCUGUGGCAGUGAACAUAUCGACAUCACUGUCUGUGACAGUGAACAUAUCGACAUCACUGUCUGUGGCAGUGAACACAUAAACAUGAGUGUCUGUGACAGUGAACACA